Molecule: long non-coding RNA, 777 nt
Organism: Meriones unguiculatus (Mongolian gerbil)
Lineage: Eukaryota; Metazoa; Chordata; Mammalia; Rodentia; Muridae
Exons: 3
Source: RefSeq, a predicted model, not a curated record
CUGAGGGAUUCCUUCCCAGAGGCCACUCCAAGGUCCUGGAGCCUAUGAUGACAGAAAGGCCAGGUCUCCAGGAGAAAUGGGAUUGAGAACCCCCGAGAUUCGAGGCGGGGGUUCUCCAUUUCGCGUCCCUUGAACGUUAGCAAAGUCUACUUGAAAAUGCCUGCCUGUCUCGGGUGCCACAAUGCUGAGGGGCAUUUGGUGAACGUUUGUUUGAGCACAGCCGUGAUUGUUUUUCUUAAAUUAUUUUCCCACUCUGCAAGCCGUGGAUCUUCGGAGGAAGGAAAGAAUGUGCGAUCCCAUUUUCCCCCUUCCAUAUGGAGACUUCAUGGACAUUCUGUCUGCCAAACCUCCUCCCUGUGAAAGCCUCUGGAAACCCACGUUUUUGCACGUGUGUGAGUCAGAGGACAACUUUCAGGAGUUGGCUUCCCUUUUCCCACUCUCCUGGAUAGCUUUCUGUCAACUUGACACACGGGGAUGCUACCUGAGAGGAGAGAAACUCAACUGAGAAAAUGCCCCUACAAGAUCCGGCUGUGGGCAAGCCUGGAGGACAUUUUCUUAAUUAAUGAUUGAUGGGGGAGGGUCCAGCCUGUUGUGGGUGGGGCCAUCCCUGAGCUGGUAAAGCCUGAGCAAGACAUGAGGAGCAAGCCAGUAAGAGCACCCCUCCAUGGCCUCUGCCUCAGCUCCUGCCUCCAGGUUCCUGCCCUGUUUGAGUUCCUGUCCUGACUCUCCAAGGUUGGACUGAAAUAUGGAAGCAUAAGCCAAAUAAACCCUUUUUCC